GCCUGGGUGGCUCAGUCGGUAAAAGCACCUGACUUCGACUCAGGUCCUGAUCUCCCAGUCUGUGGGUUCGAGCCCCACGUCGGGCU
Non-coding RNA from Acinonyx jubatus (cheetah), 86 nucleotides. Lineage: Eukaryota; Metazoa; Chordata; Mammalia; Carnivora; Felidae. The record is from the annotation of a RefSeq genome assembly.